GCCGAAGUGGCGGAAUUGGCAGACGCGCUGGGUUCAGGGUCCAGUGGGGGCAACCCUGUCCGGGUUCAAAUCCCGGCUUCGGCACCA
This 87-nucleotide transfer RNA is filed under the name candidate division BRC1 bacterium ADurb.Bin183. RNAcentral describes it as "tRNA-Ser". It matches the Rfam family "tRNA". Rfam says of the family: Transfer RNA (tRNA) molecules are approximately 80 nucleotides in length. Their secondary structure includes four short double-helical elements and three loops (D, anti-codon, and T loops). The record is from RNAcentral. Lineage: Bacteria; Candidatus Sumerlaeota. RNAcentral also lists the same sequence under 2 other names.